UACGGAGGAUCCGAGCGUUAUCCGGAUUUAUUGGGUUUAAAGGGUGCGCAGGCGGGAAAUUAAGUCGGCGGUGAAAUUUUGCGGCUCAACCGUAAAAGUGCCUUCGAAACUGGUUUCCUUGAGUGUAGAUGAAGUAGGCGGAAUUUGUGGUGUAGCGGUGAAAUGCAUAGAUAUCACGAGGAACUCCGAUUGCGCAGGCAGCUUACUAAACUACUACUGACGCUCAGGCACGAAGGCGUGGGGAUCAAACAGGAUUAGAUACCCGCGUAGUCCCUGA
RNAcentral lists this ribosomal RNA (277 nucleotides) under uncultured prokaryote. Its description in RNAcentral is "partial 16S ribosomal RNA". It matches the Rfam family "Bacterial small subunit ribosomal RNA", at positions 524 to 800 of the family's 1533-position model. The record is from RNAcentral.